This 372-nucleotide ribosomal RNA is filed under the name uncultured bacterium. RNAcentral's name for it is "bacterial SSU rRNA". It matches the Rfam family "Bacterial small subunit ribosomal RNA", at positions 524 to 898 of the family's 1533-position model. The record is from RNAcentral.
UACGGAGGAUGCAAGCGUUAUCCGGAUUCAUUGGGUUUAAAGGGUGCGCAGGUUGGAAUGUAAGUCAGUGGUGAAAUACUGCCGCUUAACGGUAGAACUGCCAUUGAUACUGCGUUUCUUGAGUAUGGUUGAGGUAGGUGGAAUGUGUUGUGUAGCGGUGAAAUGCAUAGAUAUGACACAGAACGCCAAUUGCGAAGGCAGCUUACUAAGCCAUUACUGACGCUGAGGCACGAAAGCGUGGGGAUCGAACAGGAUUAGAUACCCUGGUAGUCCACGCCGUAAACGAUGUUCACUCGCUGUUUGCGAUACACAGCAAGCGGCUGAGCGAAAGCAUUAAGUGAACCACCUGGGGAGUACGAUCGCAAGGUUGAA